CAGCCCUAAACGAUGCGCGUUAGGUGUAUCGGUGACCACGAGUCACCGAGGUGCCGAAGGGAAACCGUGAAGCGAGCCACCUGGGAAGUACGGCCGCAAGGCUGAAACUUAAAGGAAUUGGCGGGGGAGCACCACAACGGGUGGAGCUUGCGGUUUAAUUGGAUUCAACGCCGGAAAUCUUACCGGGACCGACAGCAACAUGAAGGCCAGGCUGAAGACUUUGCCGGAUUAGCUGAGAGGGAGGUGCAUGGCGUAGUCGUGU
This 262-nucleotide ribosomal RNA is filed under the name uncultured archaeon. RNAcentral describes it as "partial 16S ribosomal RNA". It matches the Rfam family "Archaeal small subunit ribosomal RNA", at positions 748 to 1009 of the family's 1478-position model. The record is from RNAcentral.